RNAcentral lists this ribosomal RNA (253 nucleotides) under uncultured prokaryote. Its description in RNAcentral is "partial 16S ribosomal RNA". It matches the Rfam family "Bacterial small subunit ribosomal RNA", at positions 525 to 777 of the family's 1533-position model. The record is from RNAcentral.
ACGGGGGGGGCAAGCGUUGUUCGGAAUUACUGGGCGUAAAGGGUUCGUAGGUGGCCUGCUAAGCCAGACGUGAAAUCCCUCAGCUUAACUGGGGAACUGCGUCUGAGACUGGCGAGCUCGAGUGCAGGAGAGGAACGCGGAAUCCCAGGUGUAGCGGUGAAAUGCGUAGAUGUCUGGAGGAACACCAGUGGCGAAGGCGGCGUUCUGGACUGCUACUGACACUGAGGAACGAAAGCCAGGGGAGCAAACGGGA